This 1012-nucleotide ribosomal RNA is filed under the name Opecoelidae sp. 2 DISC-2009. RNAcentral's name for it is "bacterial SSU rRNA". It matches the Rfam family "Eukaryotic small subunit ribosomal RNA", at positions 63 to 1010 of the family's 1831-position model. Lineage: Eukaryota; Metazoa; Platyhelminthes; Trematoda; Plagiorchiida; Opecoelidae. The record is from RNAcentral.
GUUUAGUCAAACCUUCAACGGUGAACCGCGAACGGCUCAUUAGAUCAGCUAUGGUUCCUUGGAUCGUAUUUACUACAUGGAUAACUGUAGUAAUUCUAGAGCUAAUACAUGCAACUAUGCCCUGACCCGCGAGGGAACGGGUGCAUUUAUUAGAACAGAACCAACCGGUUGUGGUUUCGGCCGCUUCCGUUUGCUAUGUGAUGACUCUGGAUAACUCUACCGAUCGCAGUCGGCCUUGUGUCGGCGACGGAUCUUUCAAAUGUCUGUCUUAUCAAUUUUCGAUGGUAGGUGACCUGCCUACCAUGGUGAUAACGGGUAACGGGGAAUCAGGGUUCGAUUCCGGAGAAGGAGCCUGAGAGACGGCUACUACUUCCAAGGAAGGCAGCAGGCGCGUAACUUACCCACUCCCGGAACGGGGAGGUAGUGACGAUAAAUACGGAUACGGGACUCAAAAGAGGCUCCGUAAUUCGAAUGAGUACAAUUUAAAUCCUUUAACGAGGAUCAACUGGAGGGCAAGUCUGGUGCCAGCAGCCGCGGUAACUCCAGCUCCAGUGGCAUAUAUUAAAGUUGUUGCAGUUAAAAAGCUCGUAGUUGGAUCUGGGCUGGGCGGCUGUGCGCCGUGCUCGCAUUUCCGGUCUGGUCAUUCUAGGUCGGGAUAGUGAGUCGGUGCCGCGGUCGUUCGGUCUUUCUGCUGUGUCUGUGAAAGCAGGUGCUGACCUCGGUUGGCAUGCUCUCGGAUGCCCUUCAACGGGUGUUGAGUGCGGACGGCAUGAAUACUUUGAACAAAUUUGAGUGCUCAAGCAGCCCAUGUGCCUGAAAAGUCUUGCAUGGAAUAUGGAAUAGGACUUCGGUCUUAUUUUGUUGGUUUCGGAUCCGAGUAAUGGUUAAGAGGGACAGACGGGGCAUUUGUUUGGCGGCGUAGAGGUGAAAUCUGAUCGUUCGCAGAACCAACUACAGCGAGGACAUUGCAAGGAUGUUCCAUGGAAUCUGGGAGCGAAGUUCAAGAAGAGUC